UGCCUGAACUACAUCAAAAGAAACUGAAAUAGCAUACCAAGCACAAUAUCUACUAUUGCCACUUUUAAAUAGCAGCCAUCAGUGAAGUGAGAAGUGGGCAUUAACCAAAGGACUUUCCUGCAGUUCUUCAUCGGGAGUGAGGAUAUGGCCUCUCAGGGCCAAGCAGUGAUGAGAGACCUUGUCAGUCAUGGAAGGGAGAAGAGAAGCUGGGUCAUGCAAGUUGCAUGAGAAGCAGUUAACAAAAGGAUUUCACUGGAGGUUAAAGAAGUAAUAAUGAAGAAUCAAUAAUUAGCAGAGGACCAGAUCUCUUCCCUAGCUUCCCCUUCAGUAACCUCCAAACAAAAUGUAAGCCCUGACCGUGUGACAUCUAGAGAAAGGGCACGAGGAGCUCACAAGUCUGCACACAGGGGAUGGUGAUGCCUCUGAUCGCCUGUCUCAGUGAUUAACUGACACUCUUUCUCUGCUUCCUUUUAAAAACAUUCAUAGCAGAGUCUUGGGAGGUGGUUUUAAGGGAACUUGGGUCCCCCAUCUCCCCAGAUUGCUGGCAUUCAGAUUAAAAGCACUUUUCUUUCCCUAC
Bubalus bubalis (water buffalo) is the source of this 577-nucleotide long non-coding RNA. RefSeq lists it as uncharacterized. The record is from RefSeq and is a predicted model, not a curated record. The transcript has 2 exons. NCBI's taxonomy places the organism in Eukaryota, Metazoa, Chordata, Mammalia, Artiodactyla, Bovidae.